ACAUUUAACUAUCAACUAAUCAUAGAAAAGGAUCCAAAUACAAUCAACACCUAGACUUAGGGUUUUAUCUGACAGAAUUCUACGAGUUUUGGUGUUUGUCUAUUUCUGCAGGGGGUUAUCAGGAAAUAAGGAAGAAAGGCCCACACGUCGGGUUUACAUAGAGAUAUUAACGUGCCGUGCAAUUUUCUAUCAUCUAGAAGACUCCAGAAGCCACGGGACCGAAGCGGAAGCCGAGAGGCCUCAGGGACAGGGCGCCCGCCCUAGUCCUAAGGGCGCCCGCCCUCCCCCUGGACCAAUCAGGGUGAAGUCGGGGAUCAUGCUCCACCGACCUAAUACUUCAAGGAAAACCACACGAUCAAUGUCGGUUUGAUCCGACGGCCCAGAUUCACUUGAAGGGACUAUAAAAACAGACCCCCCUGGCCCCU
RNAcentral lists this long non-coding RNA (425 nucleotides) under Sorghum bicolor (sorghum). RNAcentral describes it as "long non-coding RNA (SBIC_LNC006354)". The record is from RNAcentral. Lineage: Eukaryota; Viridiplantae; Streptophyta; Magnoliopsida; Poales; Poaceae.